This 497-nucleotide ribosomal RNA is filed under the name uncultured bacterium. RNAcentral's name for it is "partial 16S ribosomal RNA". It matches the Rfam family "Bacterial small subunit ribosomal RNA", at positions 28 to 507 of the family's 1533-position model. The record is from RNAcentral.
GAUGAACGCUGGCGGCGUGCCUAAUACAUGCAAGUCGAGCGAACAGAUGAGGAGCUUGCUCCUCUGACGUUAGUGGCGGACGGGUGAGUAACACGUGGAUAACCUACCUAUAAGACUGGGAUAACUUCGGGAAACCGGAGCUAAUACCGGAUAAUAUAUUGAACCGCAUGGUUCAAUAGUGAAAGACGGUUUUGCUGUCACUUAUAGAUGGAUCCGCGCUGCAUUAGCUAGUUGGUAAGGUAACGGCUUACCAAGGCAACGAUGCGUAGCCGACCUGAGAGGGUGAUCGGCCACACUGGAACUGAGACACGGUCCAGACUCCUACGGGAGGCAGCAGUAGGGAAUCUUCCGCAAUGGGCGAAAGCCUGACGGAGCAACGCCGCGUGAGUGAUGAAGGUCUUCGGAUCGUAAAACUCUGUUAUUAGGGAAGAACAAAUGUGUAAGUAACUAUGCACGUCUUGACGGUACCUAAUCAGAAAGCCACGGCUAACUACGUG